UGACGGGGGCCCGCACAAGCGGUGGAGCAUGUGGUUUAAUUCGAUGCAACGCGAAGAACCUUACCUGGUCUUGACAUCCACAGAACUUUCCAGAGAUGGAUUGGUGCCUUCGGGAACUGUGAGACAGGUGCUGCAUGGCUGUCGUCAGCUCGUGUUGUGAAAUGUUGGGUUAAGUCCCGCAACGAGCGCAACCCUUAUCCUUUGUU
RNAcentral lists this ribosomal RNA (206 nucleotides) under Salmonella enterica subsp. enterica serovar Typhimurium. RNAcentral's name for it is "partial 16S ribosomal RNA". It matches the Rfam family "Bacterial small subunit ribosomal RNA", at positions 911 to 1116 of the family's 1533-position model. The record is from RNAcentral. Lineage: Bacteria; Pseudomonadati; Pseudomonadota; Gammaproteobacteria; Enterobacterales; Enterobacteriaceae.